Molecule: long non-coding RNA, 585 nt
Organism: Macaca fascicularis (crab-eating macaque)
Lineage: Eukaryota; Metazoa; Chordata; Mammalia; Primates; Cercopithecidae
Source: Ensembl
CAAGGGAGACAGAGACAGAGGAGAAACACAGUUUGUUAAUAUUCUGUGCUAGAUUCUGCAGAGGAAUCACUUUAUUUUGCAGAUGUAACUAGCUUAAGUAGAGCUAAAAGUUAUGUAGCUAGAAAGCUGACUUACACCCUUAAAGCUAAUGAAGAGAAAUGCAGGUUUCCCAGGGUAGGUUCUUGGCACUUCUUUGCAAAUAGGUAAAAGGGAAUGGCAGAUAUUCAAGCUCAGGGAGCAAGCAGCAAGGACAGAGCCUUCCCCCCUCUCAGUGUGUUGAAGUCAGCAGAUAGCACACCUGCUGCUGCGUGAGUUCCUUCUGCCAAGCAGAGCAGCACAGCUGCAAGACGCUCUGCUUCUGGCUCUGAGCUUUGCCUGUCUUCAGGGAUGAGGCCCCUCCCAAGGCAAGUUCAACUGGGUUCUUUGGCAGCCGAAGUCUACAUGGACCCUGCAGGGAGCGGUGGAGAAAAAGGUUUGGAUCCCGGGAAUCUUCAGACGAGUACAAAAGGCUCUUGCCAAGGCACCAAUUUAACAAUUUGGUAUAUUGAUCAUGAGGAGAGGGUUCGCCCCUCACGGGAGAAGUAG